RNAcentral lists this ribosomal RNA (250 nucleotides) under uncultured marine eukaryote. RNAcentral's name for it is "partial 18S ribosomal RNA". It matches the Rfam family "Eukaryotic small subunit ribosomal RNA", at positions 617 to 871 of the family's 1831-position model. The record is from RNAcentral.
GGUUAAAAAGCUCGUAGUUGGAUUUCUGUUGAGGAUGGCCAGUCCGCACUUGGUGCGAGUAUUUGGUUCAGCCUUGGCAUCCUCCUGGGGAGCGUAACUGUGCUUGAUUGCAUGGUACGUAAUUCAGGACUUUUACUUUGAGGAAAUUAGAGUGUUCACGGCAGGCAAUCGCCUUGAAUAUGUUAGCAUGGAAUAAUAAUAUAAGACCUCGGUUUUAUUUUGUUGGUUUCUAGAAGCGAGGUAACGAUUA